ACGGAUAUCUCGGCUCUCGCAUCGAUGAAGAACGUAGCAAAAUGCGAUACCUGGUGUGAAUUGCAGAAUCCCGCGAACCAUCGAGUUUUUGAACGCAAGUUGCGCCCGAGGCCUUCUGGCCGAGGGCACGCCUGCCUGGGCGUCACGCCAAAAGACACUCCCACCCAACCAGGUGAGGACGUGGCGUUUGGCUCCCCGUUCCGCGAGGUGCGGUGGGCCGAAGUUUGGGCUGCCGGCGUACCGUGCCGGACACAGCACAUGGUGGGCAACCAAAAUUGUCACGGUGUUGUGCCUCGGCUCGCAGCCGGCGAUACGGCCCUAAGGACCCUUUCGACCGUAGCGCAUGUCGCUCGGACCGCGACCCCAGGUCAGGCGGGACUACCCGCCGAAUUUAAGCAUAUAAAUAAGCGGAGGAGAAGAAACUUACAAGGAUUCCCCUAGUAACGGCGAGCGAAC
Molecule: ribosomal RNA, 456 nt
Filed under: Tenaxia stricta
Lineage: Eukaryota; Viridiplantae; Streptophyta; Magnoliopsida; Poales; Poaceae
Description: eukaryotic LSU rRNA
Rfam family: 5.8S ribosomal RNA (bases 1-145)
Source: RNAcentral